This 253-nucleotide ribosomal RNA is filed under the name uncultured bacterium. RNAcentral describes it as "partial 16S ribosomal RNA". It matches the Rfam family "Bacterial small subunit ribosomal RNA", at positions 524 to 776 of the family's 1533-position model. The record is from RNAcentral.
GACGAACCGUCCAAACGUUAUUCGGAAUCACUGGGCUUACAGAGUUCGUAGGCGGUCUGGAAAGUUGGGUGUGAAAUCCCUCGGCUCAACCGAGGAACUGCGCUCAAAACUACCCGACUCGAGGGAGAUAGAGGAAAGCGGAACUGAUGGUGGAGCGGUGAAAUGCGUUGAUAUCAUCAGGAACACCGGUGGCGAAGGCGGGUCUCUGGACAGAUCCUGACACUGAGGCACGAAAGGCCAGGGAGCAAACGGG